UACGAGGGGGGCGAGCGUUGUUCGGAAUUAUUGGGCGUAAAGGGUGCGUAGGCGGUUUGGUAAGUCUUAUGUGAAAUCUACAGGCUCAACUUGUAGUCUGCAUGAGAAACUGCCGGGCUUGAGUAUGGGAGAGGUGAGUGGAAUUCCUGGUGUAGCGGUGAAAUGCGUAGAUAUCAGGAGGAACACCUGUGGCGAAAGCGGCUCACUGGACCAUAACUGACGCUGGUGCACGAAAGCUAGGGGGGCAAACAGG
This 253-nucleotide ribosomal RNA is filed under the name uncultured bacterium. RNAcentral describes it as "partial 16S ribosomal RNA". It matches the Rfam family "Bacterial small subunit ribosomal RNA", at positions 524 to 776 of the family's 1533-position model. The record is from RNAcentral.